UGAGACAAGGGCCUAAUUAUAGA
Molecule: non-coding RNA, 23 nt
Filed under: Arabidopsis thaliana (thale cress)
Lineage: Eukaryota; Viridiplantae; Streptophyta; Magnoliopsida; Brassicales; Brassicaceae
Source: RNAcentral